GUUGCUAAAUUUAGCAGCGGGCGGCCCGGCGGUGUGAGAUAGCGGAUCCUUCAUUCAGUGCGGCGGGGCGGUUUCAGAUAUCUAUUAGAAAUUGCAAUUCCACAUAUCUCCACUGUAAUUCACACUGUCCCUGGGAUUCCCCUUUCUGUGACCUCCCCCGGCCCCUGCUGACAGUCUGCCAAGUGAGAGUAGGUCAGCUGGGUCAAGGCUGUGCCUCCUCACUUCAGUCAACUGAAAAUGACUCAGUGGUGGACGAAGUACACAGACCUUGUACCUUAGAUUCCCCUCGCUGUGACCUCCCCCGGCCCCUGCUGAUGGUCUGCCAAGUGAGAGUAGGUCAGCUGGUUCAAGGCUUUGACUCCACACUUCAGUUCACUGUAUUUAAGAUUAAAUGA
RNAcentral lists this long non-coding RNA (395 nucleotides) under Astyanax mexicanus (Mexican tetra). RNAcentral describes it as "lncRNA (ENSAMXG00005015304.1)". The record is from RNAcentral. Lineage: Eukaryota; Metazoa; Chordata; Actinopteri; Characiformes; Acestrorhamphidae.